GUAUGAAUUAGGAAAGUCCGAGCACAAUAGGGCAGGGUGCAAGAUAACGUCUUGUGGAGGCGACUCCAAGGAUAGUGCAACAGAAAUAAACCGCCACUAAUUUGUCUAUUUUUGUGUUUUUUUGAUAUUUAUAUCAUACCUCCUAUUUUUUCACAAAAAGUUUUAUAGUGGUAAGGAUGGAAAGGUGAUUUAAGAGAUUACCGGUAUCAUGGAGACAUGAUAUGCUAUGUAAACCCCACCUUGUGCAAGACAGGAAAAGUAACAGAGUUGCCCGCUCUUUUUCCGGAGUACGUCGCUUGAACAUAUCAGCAAUGAUAUGUCUAGAUAGAUGACCGUCCUAGACAGAACUCGGCUUACAGACUAAU
Molecule: RNase P RNA, 365 nt
Filed under: bovine gut metagenome
Description: Bacterial RNase P class A
Rfam family: Bacterial RNase P class A
About the family: Ribonuclease P (RNase P) is a ubiquitous endoribonuclease, found in archaea, bacteria and eukarya as well as chloroplasts and mitochondria. Its best characterised activity is the generation of mature 5'-ends of tRNAs by cleaving the 5'-leader elements of precursor-tRNAs.
Source: RNAcentral